AAUCAAGCUUUGAAGGGCACACAGUGGAUGCCUUGGUGCUAGAAGGCGAUGAAGGACGUGACAAGCUGCGAUAAGCUU
RNAcentral lists this non-coding RNA (78 nucleotides) under Oikopleura dioica. Its description in RNAcentral is "Bacterial large subunit ribosomal RNA". It matches the Rfam family "Bacterial large subunit ribosomal RNA", at positions 1 to 78 of the family's 2925-position model. The record is from Rfam by way of RNAcentral. Lineage: Eukaryota; Metazoa; Chordata; Appendicularia; Copelata; Oikopleuridae.